AGCUGUGCAGCUUGUCAGAGACCAGCUGUGUUUUGCUGGGCUCAGCUCUGAAGUCCAACCGACCCGUGUGACAGAACUGGACCUGAGCAGGAAUAACCUGAAGUACGAAGAAGUUCAGCCACUCAAGGAUCUGGAGAAAAGUGCAAACUACCAUCUGGAGACUCUAAGGUGGAACUGGGAAUAAUGUCUGGAAACGAGGGAAGCAUUUUGUGCUGCUGUGGCCUCAUAAAGAGACUGUGUGGAUCAAACCGAUGAGUUGGAAGAUUUUUGUUUGAUUUUAGACGCCUGUCGUUUACUGUCUGAUAUUUUUGUCUCUUGAUCAAUAGAUGAAAUUCAAAUUCAGCUCCAUUAACGACUCACUGAUCUGAUCCUGGUUCAUUUGGAAAGUUGAUCUUUUUUCUCAUGGAUUUUUAGUUUGUAAUAAUGUCAUAUAAAAUAAAGUUCACUUCAAAAGUU
Long non-coding RNA from Poeciliopsis prolifica (blackstripe livebearer), 456 nucleotides. RefSeq lists it as uncharacterized. The transcript has 2 exons. The record is from RefSeq and is a predicted model, not a curated record. NCBI's taxonomy places the organism in Eukaryota, Metazoa, Chordata, Actinopteri, Cyprinodontiformes, Poeciliidae.